This 367-nucleotide ribosomal RNA is filed under the name uncultured bacterium. RNAcentral's name for it is "bacterial SSU rRNA". It matches the Rfam family "Bacterial small subunit ribosomal RNA", at positions 527 to 896 of the family's 1533-position model. The record is from RNAcentral.
GUAGGUGGCAAGCGUUGUCCGGAUUUAUUGGGUUUAAAGGGUGCGUAGGCGGUUCCAUAAGUCAGUGGUGAAAUACGGCAGCUCAACUGUCGAGGUGCCAUUGAUACUGUGGAACUUGAGUACUGAUGAGGUAGGCGGAAUGGACGGUGUAGCGGUGAAAUGCUUAGAGAUCGUCCAGAACACCGAUAGCGAAGGCAGCUUACUAAGGAGUAACUGACGCUGAGGCACGAAAGUGUGGGGAUCAAACAGGAUUAGAUACCCUGGUAGUCCACACUGUAAACGAUGAUUACUCGAUGUUGGCGAUACACAGCCAGCGUCUUAGCAAAAGCGAUAAGUAAUCCACCUGGGGAGUACGCCGGCAACGGUG